GAUCAAGUGUCUUAAGGGCAAUUGGUGGAUGCCUUGGCAUGCACAGGCGAUGAAGGACGUGAUACGCUGCGAUAAGCUACGGGGAGGUGCGAAUACCCUUUGAUCCGUAGAUCUCCGAAUGGGGAAACCCACCUAAGGUACUUGGAAAAUCAGAGCAGCAGGGCAACUGACGCGGCAAUCCCAAAAGGAUUGAGCGUGGGGCGACGAUCUCUUUGGGAUCGCGCUGUUUUUGCUGCUGUGGUUUCCAAGUAUCGAUAAUAGGUAACUUAUCCUGAAUACAUAGGGAUAAAGUGGCGAACGCGGGGAACUGAAACAUCUAAGUACCCGUAGGAAAGGACAUCAACCGAGACUCCGGAAGUAGUGGCGAGCGAACCCGGACCAGGCCAGCGGCGAUUGAGAGACAAGCGGAACCUUCUGGAAAGUUGGGCCAUAGCGGGUGACAGCCCCGUACGCGUAAUGCAAAUCAUCGUCCUUGAGUAAGGCGGGACACGUGAAAUCCUGUCUGAAAUUGGGAGGACCACCUUCCAAGCCUAAGUACUCGUGCAUGACCGAUAGCGAACUAGUACCGUGAGGGAAAGGUGAAAAGCACCCCGACAAGGGGAGUGAAAGAGUACCUGAAACCGAUUGCCUACAAACAGUGGGAGCCCGUCCUUCAAAUCGCUUGACGAUUUGAAGAACUUUUGAUUUUGCCAUCAAGAGCGCAAGCGCUUUGAUGGGCGGGUGACCACGUACCUUUUGUAUAAUGGGUCAGCGACUUAGUGUGACGAGCAAGCUUAAACCGAUAGGUGUAGGCGCAGCGAAAGCGAGUCUGAACAGGGCGUUCAGUUCGUCGCAUUAGACCCGAAACCGAGUGAUCUAGCCAUGAGCAGGCUGAAGGUAAGGUAACACUUACUGGAGGGCCGAACCCAUAACUGUUGCAAUAGUUCGGGAUGACUUGUGGCUAGGGGUGAAAGGCCAAUCAAACUCGGAAAUAGCUGGUUCUCCGCGAAAUCUAUUUAGGUAGAGCGUCGACCGAAUACCCCAGGGGGUAGAGCACUGGAUGGGCUAGGGGUCCUCACCGGAUUACCAAACCUAACCAAACUCCGAAUACCUGGGAGUACUAGUCGGCAGACACACGGCGGGUGCUAACGUCCGUCGUGAAAAGGGAAACAACCCUGACCUACAGCUAAGGUCCCCAAGUUAUGGCUAAGUGGGAAAGGAUGUGAGGAUCCCAAAACAACCAGGAUGUUGGCUUAGAAGCAGCCAUCAUUUAAAGAAAGCGUAACAGCUCACUGGUCUAAAUAAGGGUCUUUGCGCCGAAAAUGUAACGGGGCUAAAGCCAUACACCGAAGCUUAGGGUUCGUGAGCAAUCACGAGCGGUAGCGGAGCGUUCUGUAAGCCAGUGAAGCCGUACCCGUGAGGGGCGGUGGAGGUAUCAGAAGUGCGAAUGCUGACAUGAGUAACGUAAGGGGAGUGAGAGACUCCCCCGCCGAAAGACCAAGGGUUCCUGCUUAAAGUUAAUCUGAGCAGGGUUAGCCGGCCCCUAAGACGAGGCGGAAACGCGUAGUCGAUGGGAAUCACGUUAAUAUUCGUGAGCCUGGAGGUAGUGACGGAUCACACAAGUUGUCCAAUCUUAUCGGAUUGAAAGGGCAGCGGAGUGGUUCCAGGAAAUAGCUCCUCCUUAUAGACCGUACCCGAAACCGACACUGGUGGUCUGGUAGAGUAUACCAAGGCGCUUGAGAGAACUAUGCUGAAGGAACUCGGCAAAUUGCACGCGUAACUUCGGAAGAAGCGUGACCCUUUUUUGCGCAAGCAGAGGAGGGUGGCACAGACCAGGGGGUAGCGACUGUUUAUCAAAAACACAGGGCUCUGCGAAGUCGCAAGACGACGUAUAGGGUCUGACGCCUGCCCGGUGCUGGAAGGUUAAGAGGAGGGGUGCAAGCUCUGAAUCGAAGCCCCAGUAAACGGCGGCCGUAACUAUAACGGUCCUAAGGUAGCGAAAUUCCUUGUCGGGUAAGUUCCGACCUGCACGAAUGGCGUAACGACUUCCCCGCUGUCUCCAGCAUAGACUCAGUGAAAUUGAAUUCCCCGUGAAGAUGCGGGGUUCCUGCGGUUAGACGGAAAGACCCCGUGCACCUUUACUAUAGCUUUACAUUGGCAUUCGUAGUGGCAUGUGUAGGAUAGGUGGUAGGCUUUGAAGCCUGGGCGCCAGCUCAGGUGGAGCCACCCUUGAAAUACCACCCUUAUCACUAUGGAUGUCUAACCGCGGCCCGUUAUCCGGGUCCGGGACAAUGUAUGGUGGGUAGUUUGACUGGGGCGGUCGCCUCCUAAAGAGUAACGGAGGCGCGCGAUGGUGGGCUCAGAACGGUCGGAAAUCGUUCGCUGAGUGCAAUGGCAUAAGCCUGCCUGACUGCGAGACUGACAAGUCGAGCAGAGACGAAAGUCGGUCAUAGUGAUCCGGUGGUCCCG
This 2448-nucleotide ribosomal RNA is filed under the name Mesorhizobium sp. RNAcentral's name for it is "partial 23S ribosomal RNA". It matches the Rfam family "Bacterial large subunit ribosomal RNA", at positions 1 to 2431 of the family's 2925-position model. Lineage: Bacteria; Pseudomonadati; Pseudomonadota; Alphaproteobacteria; Hyphomicrobiales; Phyllobacteriaceae. The record is from RNAcentral.